Molecule: non-coding RNA, 440 nt
Organism: Camellia sinensis
Lineage: Eukaryota; Viridiplantae; Streptophyta; Magnoliopsida; Ericales; Theaceae
Source: RefSeq, a predicted model, not a curated record
GCUUUUAGUAUGGGAGGGCGUAUUCUUGACUCAUUUUGUAGUUCACUCUCGCCUUCUAUGGUUGAAGCUCUUGUAUGUACUCAAAAUUGGCUUCGAAGCAACCUUCCAAUUUCUCUUCGAAAGGUGAUGGAUGAUGUGAAAGAAUUUGAGCAAUACGACUCAGGUACUUUGGAGUCAAGCUCAUCUUCAACUUCAACUUCAACUUCAACUUCAACUUCAACUUCAACCUAUAAUGUUGAUGCUAUAAUUGAUGUCUAAUAUCCAUUUGCUCAUUGGGUUCAUCAACCAAAUGCAUGGAAUUAGAAUUGGAAUUGGAAUUGGAAUUGGAAUUGGAAUUUGUAAAAGUUGAAUUGGAUAUGAUUCAUGAAGAUGAAGUUUGAUAUCUUAGAAAUGUUUUAAUUUUAUUUCAUGGGUUUGUAUUGAAUGAAGUUUGACAACAA